This 119-nucleotide ribosomal RNA is filed under the name Triticum aestivum (bread wheat). RNAcentral also lists the same sequence under 1 other name. The record is from RNAcentral. Lineage: Eukaryota; Viridiplantae; Streptophyta; Magnoliopsida; Poales; Poaceae.
GGAUGCGAUCAUACCAGCACUAAAGCACCGGAUACCAUCAGAACUCUGAAGUUAAGCGUGCUUGGGCGAGAUUAGUACUAGGAUGGGUGACCUUCUGGGAAGUCCUCGUGUUGCAUUCC